This is a long non-coding RNA of Cygnus atratus (black swan), 2008 nucleotides long. RefSeq lists it as uncharacterized. The record is from RefSeq and is a predicted model, not a curated record. NCBI's taxonomy places the organism in Eukaryota, Metazoa, Chordata, Aves, Anseriformes, Anatidae. The transcript has 4 exons.
CAAGUUUAAGCUUGGAAAUAAAGGGGGAGUGAGGGAAUAAAAAAAGCAAAGCCUUACAGAGCCUCAGCUCCACCUAGGAACAAAUAACGGUCUGUCUGCUUCUGGAAGAACUUCCCACCGCUGAGGACGGAUGGGGCGGACCCCAAAAGCUAGAUGGGGUUGUGUGAGAGCUGGUGAUAGUGCCAGCAGGACUCCACAGCCGACAAGAGACAUCGUUGGCCUUGAUGUCCGUCACAACGGAAAAUGCUCGUUUAAUCCAAUUUGGGGAAGUCUGUCAAACUCUCAGAAACAAUAGCAGCGAGACUCUUAUGCAGUCAUGGGGAAAGUUUAGUAUACCAAAAAAACUGUGUGUAUUAGGUAAGGUGACAAAUGGAGUCACACCUCCCAGAAGUCCCAGUUUGUGGUCUUUAAGCUUUUUUUCUUGUUGGGGGAAGGUGGAGAGAGCCGAAUAUUAUCCAGGAAGGUGACCAAAUCCGUGCCUAAAAAGCUCAGCUGCUAAAGGUUUUAUAAAUGAUCUUUGCACUGCAAGUUUCAGUUUUCAUGAAGCCAAAUUGAGAUAAAUCCAAAAUUUUCUAUGGAUUUAAAAGAACGCUUACUAAAAUAUUCUUGUCAUUCACAAUAAUAAUGGAGUGAGUGAACUUGUUCCACACAGUGACCUUACUUUAUUAUUUUGUUUGUUGUAUUCCAGCAAACUGUGUAUGAUCCCAGGAGCAUAGGCACAGUCUUGUGUAGCAUUGUCAUUCUGCCCCACCGCUCUGAUAUCUAACAAAGUAAUACAUUCUGGAUGUUGUCUACAAAUUCUUUCCUUCUUUAUGUAAGAGGUCGAUGCGCGUCGCCUAGUUUGUCACAGAGCGUCACUGAAGUACUGUGUUAUUUGUAUUUGUGAAGACAGCAGAAUCAAAGACAGCAGGUCAGUGACUCCCACCGAGAUGGUCAUUAAGAUAAAACAGUGAAGUUUCUAGCAUAUAUUAAAAAGCCUGGAGGAAUUAGCAUAGCUUGCAGUAAAGCGUGCUGGAAAGAGAUGAUAUCUGAGAGCAAGCAUGAAAAUGUCGUCUUUUUACCAAGAAUGAUGAGAACUGAUGCAUCUGCCCUGCGUUUGGAUAGAAGAUGCCCUGGAUUUAAAGAUGGUGUGUAUUAAAUGAAGUAUGAGAAGAAACAGCUUCUUCGGACACUUGCGCUCCUCUUCCUCAGCUCGUGGAGAAGGCUGACAGCCUGUCUCACUCUCGUCAGUGCUAUCCCACCAGCUCCUUUAGGAGCCCAGCACCGCGUUUGGCCUGUUGCGAUCUUCCCGCUCCCCUCAUUUCUGUGCUGCAACGCCACCAUCCACGAGAAGUUGGACAGGAGAAAAGCUCUUUCCAGAGAGAUGGAGAAGGAAUUAAUUAGACCUCUGCCUCAUCCUGCAAGACCAGAAGACAUGGAGUAACUGUAAGCUGCUAUUCUCAGGAGACAUACUAAGAGUCUCGGGUUCCUUUUCUGCCCGCCCCCCAAGGCCUUGGGCACGUUGGGUUCACCCUGGGAAGGGCACGUUGCUCAGGGCAGUUAUUUCCUCCCCUAGACGACGUGGGGUGCAUUUCUCUGCUGCACUUGUGGUUUUCCACCUGUGGUUUUUCACUUGUGGUUUUCCACGUGGUUCGCACUGCUUCCAUUAUUGAGAAAACGGUUUGGGAAGCUGUGUCUGCCACUUCUCAGGAUUUUCUGCCACCACCUGCUGGCAAAAAAAAUCAGUAACGCAGGUGGAGCCAUGUAGGACUUCUCAGAGGUAAGCCUUCAACGUAUGGGGACCCCUAAACUCGUGAGCCGAGCACGCAAGACAAAUGUCCGUGGCACAAAGAUCAAGGACGACUUCUCAGAGCAGUAGGUAAACCUUAGGAGGAAUCGGUCAAAGGAAACAGCAACUGUCAAGUUCUUGUUCGGCAACUCGGUGACUGGUUUGAUCUACUUCUCAGAUGUAGAGGCAAAUGGACUGCUCUUUUGAAAUGAUAAAAUAAAAAGCAUGAAUUUUGUCAAA